ACACACAUGCUCCACUUCUCUUUAUCUAGAGCAACUGCAAGAGGCUCCAAGUAACUGAAAACAGCAGUAAACAAACAAAAUAAACCCAAGAAUGUAGAUAGAUUGGUGAUCACAAGGUGAGAAAACUCAUGAAAAUCCAUUUAGUUUAUUAAGAAUCAAGUCAAAGCUUACAACUUUAACUUACUAAUCCUCUGUUCCUGAUGAAUCAAUGUUAUUGCACCGUUCAGAACAGAGAAACGAAACAACGAACCUGGAACUGAGAUUGAAACGACACAAACAAACACAAAAUCAGCAGAUUACGGAACUUAACCAUCGAAGCCUCUUCUCCUCCUC
RNAcentral lists this long non-coding RNA (333 nucleotides) under Brassica napus (rape). RNAcentral's name for it is "long non-coding RNA (BNAP_LNC021073)". Lineage: Eukaryota; Viridiplantae; Streptophyta; Magnoliopsida; Brassicales; Brassicaceae. The record is from RNAcentral.